UUCUGGAUUGCAGAUUCUUUUCCCUCAGAGUUUUGAAGUCAUUGCUCUGUUUUUUUCUGACAUUCAUUGUUGCUUAUGAGAUGUAGAAAUUUAGCCUCAUUUUUGUUUCCUGUAGGAAAUUAAUUUUCUCCCAUCUCUGGAAGCUUAUCUUUUAUAUUCCAUGUAUUUUAUACUUUCAUAGUGAUAUACUUGGUGGGCCCCCUUAAUCUGAAAACCAGUAUUUUCACAUUUAAUGAAGUUAUCUUCUUAGAUAAUGUUCUCCCCUCCAUUUUUUUCUUUUUGUCAGAAACUUUCUAAUAUCGGGCCUCUCAGAUUGUUCUGUAAUGUUCUUAUCUAUUCACUCUUGUUUUCUGUGCCUUAGCUUCUCUUUUCUGGGAGACUGUCAUGAUUUUAUCUCUCAGUCUUUCUAUUGAUUUUUUUUUUUUUUCAGUGUAUUAAAAAAAUUUUUUUAGAACUGAUUCUUGUCCUGAUAUUUAAAAAUGCAUUCAGGAGCACCUGGGUGGCUAAGUCAGGUGAGCAUCUGACUUGAUUUCAGCUCAGGUCAUGAUCCCAGGGUCAUGGGAUUGAGCUCUGUGUCCAGCUCCACUCUGAGUGUGGAGCCUGCUUGGGAUUAUCUCUCUCUCUCCCUUUGCCCCUCUCUCCUGCCUGCUUGCUCACUCUCUCUCUCUCUCUCUCUCUCAAAUUAAAAAAAAAUAAUUGCAUUCAGUUUUUGUUUUAUCUCCGAAGAUAGUUUUUAGAAUUUUUGUUUUUGUUUUUAAUUAUCCCUAUUUCCUCCAGUCAUUUUCUUUUCCUGUUUGUUUAUCUUGGUCAGGUGAUACUUGCCUGUUCUUUCUUUUUUAAGAAUGAAAGAUUAAAUGGGACUACACCAAAGUAAAAAGCUGCACAGCAAAGGAAACCAUCAACAAUUAACUGAAUGGGAGAAGAUAUUUGCAAGCGAUAUAUUCAGUGUUGGGAAAACAACAAAGUAGGAAAAUUCCUGCCUGGAGGAGAGAGAUUUUAUAUCCAUAUAAAUGUAUGUGUGUGUGUAUAUAUAUAUAUAUAUAUAUAUAUAUAUAUAUAUAUAUAUAUGUAUGUAUAUGUAUAAAGCUAAAUUAUCAUAUGGCACAUAGCAUUAUAGACUAAAUGCUGGAUGAGUAGAAUAGAUACUUAAAUGUUCUCACUUUUAUGAGUAUGUGCCAGUUUGAGAGGUGAAAAAAAAAACCCACUUUAAUUUGCCUUUUUUCCCCAUUUAUUUUUUUAUUUUUUUUCAAUAUAUAAAAUUUAUUGUCAAAUUUCCAUACAACACCCAGUGCUCUUUUUUCCCCAUUUAAAGAUUAAUUUUUUUCACUUGUGUAUGAAUUGCCUGUUCAUGCUUUUUGUUCACCCUUCCAUGGAUGUGUUUGUACUUACUGAUUUGUAAACACUUUAAAAAGGUUAUUUAGCCCUUUGCCUAUAACAUUUUUUUUUUUAAUGUUUAUUUUGGAGGAGAGAGAGAGAGAGACAGAGACAGAGCACGAGUGGGGGAGGGGCAGAGAGAGAGGGAGACCCAGAAUCUGAAGCAGGCUCCAGGCUCUGAGGUGUCAGCACAGAGCCCGAUGCCUGGCUCGAACUCAUGAACCAGGAGAUCAUGACAUGAGCUGAAGUCGGAUGCUUAACUGACUGAGCCACCCAGGUGCCCCAGCCUGUAACAUUUUGAAAAUGCUUUUCAUAGUAUUUUGAUUUAAAUUUUGUUUGUGAUGUUUUGUUGAUGUAUAGGAGCUUAAACAUGUUAUGUAUUUGAAGUUACUCAAUUUUUGUUUUUUUUGUGUUUUGGAAAGUGUUACUACACCUCAAGAACAGACAAAUAUUUACAAAUGCCUUCUUCAAGAUGUUUAGUAUAAACUACAUACAUAGUAUUGUACUUUAUACUUAAAAUUAAAACUUUUUAAAUGUUUAUUUUUGAGACACACACACACACACACACACACACACACACACACACACAGAGUGUGAAUGGGGGAGGGGCAGAGAGAGAGGGAGACAGAAUCUGAAGCAGGAUCCAGGCUCUGAGCUGUCAGCACAGAGUCCGACACGGGGCUCAAACUCAUGAACUGUGAGAUCAUGAUCUGAAUAGAAGUUGGAUGCUUAACCCACUGAGCCACCCAGUGCCCUAUUUAUACUUAGAACUUUAAACCAUUUUGGAAUAUGUUUUUUUGGAAUAUUGCGUGAAAUGAGCUAAUUUACUUUUUGCUCAAUCAGUUUAGUAGUGGGUUUUUUUUAUGUUUAUUUUUGAGAGAGCGAGUGAGCACAAGUGGGGGAGGGGCAGAGAGAAAGAGGGACAGAGGAUCCAAAGAGGGCUCCAUUCUGACAGCAGUGAGCCUGAUGUGAGGUUCGAACUCGCAAACUGCAAGAUCAUGACCUUAGCUGAAGUCGGAUGCUCAACCGACUGAGCCACCCAGGUACACCAGUUUAGUAGUUUUCCUAGUACUGUUUAUUAAAUAAAUAUUUAUCUUUUUCUGAUUUGAAAUGCUUUAUCAUAUAUGGAAUCUGUUACUUGUUAAUCUGUUCCUGUAUCAUUACCAGAGAGGUUUGUUUUUUUAAAAAAAUGUUUUUUAGUGUAUGUUUAUUUUUGAGAGACAGAAUGUGAGUGGAGGAGGGGCAGAAAGAGAGGGAGACACAGAAUCCAAAGCAGGCUCCAGGCUCUGAGCUGUCAGCACAGAGUCCUAUGCGGGUCUUGAACUCACCAGCCUCGAGACCAUGACCUGAGCUGAAGUUGGAUGCUUAACUGAGCCACCCAGGUGCCUCUGGGUAUUGUUUUAGACCAGUGUUUAGUUCUGAAACUUUUUGCUGUGUUGUUUCUGGUCAUUUUUACACAUGGGUCACUCAGAGGUAUGUCUAGUAUUUUGUACACAUAUUUAGAAAAUUUGUUUCCCUAACUCCCUCUUCACCAUGAUCCUCCCCCCUACUCUCUAGUUGGGCUGGAGUUGGAACUCCGUUUCAUUAUGCCAGGGUGGAGAUAGACUACCUGGCUCUACCCAUAUUCUCCACAGCUGCACCAUGGGGAGGGAGAAAAAGUGCUGCCUCAUUAAUGCAGGAUUGGAAGACAGAACUCUGCUCACAGUUUCUGGGCCACAGUGAGGUGAGGGGAGGGAGGGGUGCCACUUUUUUGGUUGUUGUUUGCCUGGAGUGGGACAUAUAUGGUCAGAAUGUUUUUAUCUUGCCUGAGCUGCCCUUUUCCUGAUCCUUUGUCUAGAGAAAGCAGUCUUGGCACUUUUUUGAUUGUGCUCAUUACUGUUUGCAGGUUGUAGGCCUCUCCAGAGCUCAAACUAGGACAUAGCAGAAGUCAAACCAAACCAAAUCAAACAAAAACUAGGAAACUUUCUGCUUGGUCGGUCAGUCCCUUGGUCCAUGGGACCUAGCCAAUCCACCUUCUUUUUUCCACUUUUCAGGAUCUUCUGUCCGUUCUUUCUUGAAUUUUGUCUGUUUUGUUUUGUUGUUGUUGUAAUUAGGGUAUGUUUAUGUUGAAAUAGGGUAGAAUACGCAUACUCUAGAAGACCUAGAAAACCCCAUUUCAGUUUUAAAAUACGAGCUUUAGUUAAGGAA
This is a long non-coding RNA of Panthera uncia (snow leopard), 3561 nucleotides long. RefSeq lists it as uncharacterized. The record is from RefSeq and is a predicted model, not a curated record. NCBI's taxonomy places the organism in Eukaryota, Metazoa, Chordata, Mammalia, Carnivora, Felidae. The transcript has 2 exons.